Molecule: ribosomal RNA, 253 nt
Filed under: uncultured bacterium
Lineage: Bacteria
Description: partial 16S ribosomal RNA
Rfam family: Bacterial small subunit ribosomal RNA
Source: RNAcentral
UACAGAGGAUGCAAGCGUUAUCCGGAAUGAUUGGGCGUAAAGCGUCUGUAGGUGGCUUUUUAAGUCCGCCGUCAAAUCCCAGGGCUCAACUCUGGACAGGCGGUGGAAACUACCAAGCUGGAGUACGGUAGGGGCAGAGGGAAUUUCCGGUGGAGCGGUGAAAUGCGUAGAGAUUGGGAAGAACAUCGGUGGCGAAAGCGCUCUACUGGACCUCAUCUGACACUCAGGGACGAAAGCUAGGGGAGCGAAUGGG